UGUUAAAAAUUUUAUCCAUUUCUAGUGUUAAAAAUUAUUGUAGCUGAUAGAAUAACCAGGUAGUUACACGUGAUAUGUCACGUGUACCUUAUGCUAACGUACAAUGACCAAUUUUUAACAAGUAGAAAUAGAUAGAAUGUUUAACA
This is a non-coding RNA of Gossypium raimondii (Peruvian cotton), 146 nucleotides long. NCBI's taxonomy places the organism in Eukaryota, Viridiplantae, Streptophyta, Magnoliopsida, Malvales, Malvaceae. The record is from Rfam.